GACGUAGGGUGCGAGCGUUGUCCGGAUUUAUUGGGCGUAAAGAGCUCGUAGGCGGCUUGUUGCGUCGACUGUGAAAACCCGCGGCUUAACCGCGGGCUUGCAGUUGAUACGGGCAGGCUAGAGUUCGGUAGGGGAGACUGGAAUUCCUGGUGUAGCGGUGAAAUGCGCAGAUAUCGGGAGGAACACCAAUGGCGAAGGCAGCUCGCUGGGACGUUACUGACGCUGAGACGCGAAAGCGUGGGGAGCAAACAGG
Molecule: ribosomal RNA, 253 nt
Filed under: uncultured bacterium
Lineage: Bacteria
Description: partial 16S ribosomal RNA
Rfam family: Bacterial small subunit ribosomal RNA
Source: RNAcentral